UUGCUCCCAGAGGUUAGCGGCGGACGGGUGAGUAACACGUGGGCAACCUGCCCUGUAGACUGGGAUAACAUCGAGAAAUCGGUGCUAAUACCGGAUAAUCAAAGGAAUCACAUGGUUCUUUUGUAAAAGAUGGCUCCGGCUAUCACUACGGGAUGGGCCCGCGGCGCAUUAGCUAGUUGGUAAGGUAAUGGCUUACCAAGGCGACGAUGCGUAGCCGACCUGAGAGGGUGAUCGGCCACACUGGGACUGAGACACGGCCCAGACUCCUACGGGAGGCAGCAGUAGGGAAUCUUCCGCAAUGGACGAAAGUCUGACGGAGCAACGCCGCGUGAGUGAUGAAGGUUUUCGGAUCGUAAAGCUCUGUUGUUAGGGAAGAACAAGUGCCGUUCGAAUAGGUCGGCACCUUGACGGUACCUAACCAGAAAGCCACGGCUAACUACGUGCCAGCAGCCGCGGUAAUACGUAGGUGGCAAGCGUUGUCCGGAAUUAUUGGGCGUAAAGCGCGCGCAGGCGGUCUUUUAAGUCUGAUGUGAAA
Molecule: ribosomal RNA, 535 nt
Filed under: Bacillus subtilis
Lineage: Bacteria; Bacillati; Bacillota; Bacilli; Caryophanales; Bacillaceae
Description: bacterial SSU rRNA
Rfam family: Bacterial small subunit ribosomal RNA
Source: RNAcentral